GCCAAAGAGCGCAGCAUGUUUACCUGGUUUCCUAAGGACAUUCUGGAUAAGGUGGAGCACGAGAAGCUUGCAAUGCAGAAUCACAUUAAAGGUCUAUCUCCACAGACUUGGAGAAACACACAGAGCCUUAGAGAUUUCUUUGACGUGCUAACUACA
Selaginella moellendorffii is the source of this 156-nucleotide long non-coding RNA. RefSeq lists it as uncharacterized. The record is from RefSeq and is a predicted model, not a curated record. The transcript has 3 exons. NCBI's taxonomy places the organism in Eukaryota, Viridiplantae, Streptophyta, Lycopodiopsida, Selaginellales, Selaginellaceae.